GAGGGGCUCGCGGCCUAUCAGCUAGUUGGUGAGGUAACGGCCCACCAAGGCGAUGACGGGUAGCUGGUCUGAGAGGACGACCAGCCACACGGGGACUGAGACACGGCCCCGACUCCUACGGGAGGCAGCAGUGGGGAAUUGUUCGCAAUGGGCGCAAGCCUGACGACGCAACGCCGCGUGGAGGACGAAGAUCUUCGGGUCGUAAACUCCUUUCGAUCGGGAAGAACGGCUUCCGGUCUAACACACCGGUGAGAGUGACGGUACCGAGAGAAGAAGCCCCGGCUAACUCCGUGCCAGCAGCCGCGGUAAUACGGGGGGGGCAAGCGUUGUUCGGAAUUACUGGGCGUAAAGGGCUCGUAGGCGGCCAACUAAGUCGGAUGUGAAAUCCCCAGGCUUAACUUGGGAAUUGCAUCCGAUACUGGAUGGCUUGAAUCCGGGAGAGGGAUGCGGAAUUCCAGGUGUAGCGGUGAAAUGCGUAGAUAUCUGGAGG
RNAcentral lists this ribosomal RNA (490 nucleotides) under uncultured Acidobacteriota bacterium. RNAcentral describes it as "bacterial SSU rRNA". It matches the Rfam family "Bacterial small subunit ribosomal RNA", at positions 224 to 704 of the family's 1533-position model. The record is from RNAcentral. Lineage: Bacteria; Pseudomonadati; Acidobacteriota.